CACGUAGGCGGACUUGUAAGUCAGGGGUGAAAUCCCGAGGCUCAACUUCGGAACUGCCUUUGAUACUGCAAGUCUCGAGUCCGGAAGAGGUGAGUGGAAUUCCUAGUGUAGAGGUGAAAUUCGUAGAUAUUAGGAAGAACACCAGUGGCGAAGGCGGCUCACUGGUCCGGUACUGACGCUGAGGUGCGAAAGCGUGGGGAGCAAACA
This 207-nucleotide ribosomal RNA is filed under the name uncultured bacterium. RNAcentral describes it as "partial 16S ribosomal RNA". It matches the Rfam family "Bacterial small subunit ribosomal RNA", at positions 568 to 774 of the family's 1533-position model. The record is from RNAcentral.